Molecule: long non-coding RNA, 1483 nt
Organism: Myotis davidii
Lineage: Eukaryota; Metazoa; Chordata; Mammalia; Chiroptera; Vespertilionidae
Exons: 3
Source: RefSeq, a predicted model, not a curated record
CGGGGAUGUAGCUGCGCGUUUUCCUCUCUUCUGGGCACCGCAGCCAGGGCGAGCUGCCCGCCCCUCUCAUUCCUGGAAGGAGCUCGCCCCUCUGGCCUGGACCGUGUAUUAAGGCUCCCGCUUCUCGGGUUCUUCCUCCCCUGAGCCCCGCACCGGCCGCCAGGGCAUCUCCGACCGGCCUCCUCCCCUCGCCGCGGUCUGGCUCCUCUUCCCCGUCUCUAGUGCCCUCAUAUUCCAUCCUCUCACUCCGCGCAGAAAGGGACCGGGGAGGCAGUUGCUCCCCACUUCCCGAGAAGACCCCCUGGCCAGCCAGUGUUUCGGGGCGGGGGCGAGGGGCGCAGCGAGGAGGCCUGGCGCCCUUUUGCUGCACGUUCUGUGCCCAGCAGUGUCUCCCAGACCAGCAACCCCCGACCCUCCAGGCUCCAUGUCUUAGAGGAGCCAAAUUCGAGAGUUAUAUAAUUUCUAGUGCUGCUGUUCCUCCCGCCUGAGGAAACCCUUCAUCGCGCGGAGGGUGCAGGACAUCUCUGAGCUCUUCUUCUCUAUCAGGACGGGGUGUGGGCAGGGGUGGCCCGCGGUGGCAGAGAUUGCCCGUCUUUUCUGCAAAAGGAAGGUGGGUCGUUUGGAGAGAGAUUGAGAGGCAGGGUGGCGGUGGAAGCCAAGCGGCCGAACUCUCUCUCCUUUAGGAAAUCGCCACCCCUGUGCACAGCUGGUGCUCACAUGCCUAAUACUACAGCGUCUCGAAAACACCUUCGCGGGAAGGGUUGGCGGCUCUGGACCGGUCCCGGCGCUUUUCCUCGCUGGGCAGGCAGCUGCCUGGACGCGAAGAGAUGGCACGAUGUGAAUGAAUGACUCCAGGGUGAAGAGACCUGCUUCGCCAACUCAUCCUGCAUCAAGUGCCCCCCGAGUAGCACUGUCACUGUGACGCCUCCGUGCCAGGGGAUUGCUUUCCUGCUUUUCAAUCCUCUCGGUUAAUACAUGGGAGGAUCAGAAUCAGAGGGGGCAUUAAGGAUCAAGCCCGAGGGGCGCGGAGAGGACAGAAGGGAAAAAAUGAAAGUGACAGCAAGCUGGAUCCUGCCUUACUGAGGGGUGAGACCUGGAACUUGUGGUCCAGGGAACGGAAAGGGGCCUUUCAGUCUGUGUUCUGCUCCGGAAAAACUGUUCAAACGCACCCACCUUUUUAGAGAUCAGAGUCAAAGAGAGAAGACAGCCUGGACUUCAAAACCAAGUAGGUGAAGUGGUUUGCAACAGUUACCUGACUCUUGGCCUCAAUCCAGUUGGAUAAAGUUGGGACCUGAAAAGAGAGCUUGAAUCCUGUGGCAGUGGAAAGACCAAGAAUGCCAGUCAAGAAGAAAGAUACUGACCGAGCUUUAUCAUUGCUGGAAGAAUACUGCAAAAAAUUAAGGAAACCAGAGGAGCAGCAGCUGAAAAACGCUGUUAAAAAGGUGAUGGGCAUCUUUAGGAGCAGCUUAUUUCAAGCUCUGCU